Molecule: ribosomal RNA, 376 nt
Filed under: Mantella laevigata
Lineage: Eukaryota; Metazoa; Chordata; Amphibia; Anura; Mantellidae
Description: partial 12S ribosomal RNA
Rfam family: Bacterial small subunit ribosomal RNA
Source: RNAcentral
ACUUACACCAACAAGCGCCAGGGAAUUACGAGCGCAAGCUUAAAAUUCAAAGGAUUUGACGGUAUCCCACCCACCUAGAGGAGCCUGUUCUAUAAUCGAUAAUCCUCGAUACACCCGACCAUUUYUUGCUUUCUCAGCCUGUAUACCUCCGUCGUAAACCUACCAUUUGAGUGUAAUAAAGUAGGUUCAAGGAUCCCCCAUCAACACGUCAGGUCAAGGUGCAGCCAAUGUAAUGGAAAGUAAUGGGCUACAAUUUCUAUGAUAGAACAAACGAAAUACUGUAUGAAAAACAGUCAUGAAGGCGGAUUUAGUAGWAAARGGGGAAUAGAGAGCCCYUUUUAACARGGCCCUGGGAUGUGUACACACCGCCCGUCAC